GACGAACGCUGGCGGCGUGCUUAACACAUGCAAGUGGAGCGACGAACCAGGCUUCGGCCUGGGGCAGAGCCGCGAACGGGUGAGUAACACGUGGGUAACCUGCCCUGAUGACUGGGACAACCCGGGGAAACCCGGGCUAAUACCGGAUGUGCUGCUCUCACAUCAGUGAGAGUAGGAAAGGAAGCUUCGGCCUCCGCAUCAGGAUGGGCCCGCGGCCCAUUAGCUUGUUGGUGAGGUAACGGCUCACCAAGGCUUCGAUGGGUAGCUGGUCUGAGAGGACGAUCAGCCACACUGGGACUGAGACACGGCCCAGACUCCUACGGGAGGCAGCAGUGGGGAAUAUUGCGCAAUGGCCGCAAGGCUGACGCAGCGACGCCGCGUGUGGGAGGA
Molecule: ribosomal RNA, 390 nt
Filed under: uncultured bacterium
Lineage: Bacteria
Description: bacterial SSU rRNA
Rfam family: Bacterial small subunit ribosomal RNA
Source: RNAcentral